GAAAGGUCGUGCGAACACGGCUGGAUACACGCAUACCUGUAUCCCAAUUAGG
Non-coding RNA from Blautia sp. CAG:37, 52 nucleotides. Lineage: Bacteria; Bacillati; Bacillota; Clostridia; Lachnospirales; Lachnospiraceae. The record is from Rfam.